RNAcentral lists this long non-coding RNA (455 nucleotides) under Citrus sinensis (sweet orange). RNAcentral's name for it is "long non-coding RNA (CSIN_LNC000597)". The record is from RNAcentral. Lineage: Eukaryota; Viridiplantae; Streptophyta; Magnoliopsida; Sapindales; Rutaceae.
AAUACAAUAGUACAGCAGCAAAACAUCCAAGAUCUUAUUACAGCUUCAAAGUAAAAUAUUGCAGUACACAACAGACAAUCCUUAUGAUAUUCAUAGUAAAUUCACGAAGUGAACAGGCCACUGAUAUCUUAAGCAGCAGCCAAAGCUUCGGUUCAUAGUAAAUUCACGAAGUGAACAGGCCACUGAUAUCUUAAGCAGCAGCCAAAGCUUCGGUAGGCUUCGAAUCUGAUUCUGCUGGUGCUGGUUUUUCCUCUUCCCAGAAGGCAGUCUUCUUCCCGGCCUUAGAAACAGUCUGGAGGACAGCGUCGGGCUGCACGUUGCCCUUCACAGUCACCUUUUGCUCCUUCAAAUCAAUGUCAAAUGUUUCCACACCAUCCAUUUUCCCCAACACUCUCUUCACUGCUCCAUAGCAGCCCUCGCAUGACAUGUCAACCUUAAGGACAACGGUCUGAGAC